Molecule: long non-coding RNA, 564 nt
Organism: Brienomyrus brachyistius
Lineage: Eukaryota; Metazoa; Chordata; Actinopteri; Osteoglossiformes; Mormyridae
Exons: 4
Source: RefSeq, a predicted model, not a curated record
UUAUCGUGCUGUUAUGAAGUUGCUCCAAGUUGCCUGUGUGAAGAUGAAAGCAACUGCAGCCAUAUGGUUCCUGCCCAUGCUUUAUGUAUUACUGCCAGCUGAUGAGGAUGCCAGGCAUGAACAAACUCCCAGCCUACAAUGGAUAUCACGCGACCCAGAAGCACAAAAGGAAAUCUUGAACAUUCUGGAUAUCUAUGGCAAGAAAAUUAAGCAUAAAACAUUCGUGUUUCACAUUUUGGACAUGUUCUCUGUGAAAGAUGGAAAUCCCAGGCUCUUAAGCAGCUUAGACAUAUCUCCAGUUGAACUCUUCCCUUACCUAGUGAAAUGGCAAGACCGUUUCUCAUUAAAGAUAUUUCCUUCAACAGUACGGAUUAUUGCUGAUUUAACCAAGAAUUGCUUGACAAAGAGGCAUGAGGAGAGCGGCACUUCAGAACCAGAAAUCAUGAUUGCUUUCAGUUCUGCAAUAAGUGUCAUUUGCAAUUCAAUGAAAGAACGUGAGUUUAAGAGCGACAUACAGAACACUGUAUCAUCACUGGCUCUCCUCAAUGCCUUCACUGGACACAU